CUACGGGUGGCAGCAGUGAGGAAUAUUGCACAAUGGGGGGAACCCUGAUGCAGCAACGCCGCGUGGAGGAUGACGCAUUUCGGUGUGUAAACUCCUUUUAUAUGUCAAGAAAAUGACGGUAGCAUAUGAAUAAGCACCGGCUAACUCCGUGCCAGCAGCCGCGGUAAUACAGAGGGAGCAAGCGUUACUCGGAAUCACUGGGCGUAAAGGACGCGUAGGCGGGUUGGAAAGUCAGGUGUGAAAUCCUACAGCUUAACUGUAGAACUGCACUUGAAACUUCUAAUCUAGAGUAUGGGAGGGGGAGAUGGAAUUAGUGGUGUAGGGGUAGAAGCCGUAGAUAUCACUAGGAAUACCUAAAGCGAAGGCGAUCUCCUGGAACAUUACUGACGCUAAGGCGUGAAAGCGUGGGGAGCAAACAGGAUUAGAUACCCGAGUAGUC
RNAcentral lists this ribosomal RNA (439 nucleotides) under uncultured bacterium. Its description in RNAcentral is "partial 16S ribosomal RNA". It matches the Rfam family "Bacterial small subunit ribosomal RNA", at positions 339 to 795 of the family's 1533-position model. The record is from RNAcentral.